GUGAACGCUGGCGGUAGGCCUAACACAUGCAAGUCGAACGGCAGCACAGUAAGAGCUUGCUCUUACGGGUGGCGAGUGGCGGACGGGUGAGGAAUACAUCGGAAUCUACUUUUUCGUGGGGGAUAACGUAGGGAAACUUACGCUAAUACCGCAUACGACCUACGGGUGAAAGCAGGGGAUCUUCGGACCUUGCGCGAUUGAAUGAGCCGAUGUCGGAUUAGCUAGUUGGCGGGGUAAAGGCCCGCCAAGGCGACGAUCCGUAGCUGGUCUGAGAGGAUGAUCAGCCACACUGGAACUGAGACACGGUCCAGACUCCUACGGGAGGCAGCAGUGGGGAAUAUUGGACAAUGGGCGCAAGCCUGAUCCAGCCAUACCGCGUGGGUGAAGAAGGCCUUCGGGUUGUAAAGCCCUUUUGUUGGGAAAGAAAAGCAGCAGGUUAAUACCCCGCUGUUCUGACGGUACCCAAAGAAUAAGCACCGGCUAACUUCGUG
This 491-nucleotide ribosomal RNA is filed under the name uncultured bacterium. RNAcentral describes it as "partial 16S ribosomal RNA". It matches the Rfam family "Bacterial small subunit ribosomal RNA", at positions 29 to 507 of the family's 1533-position model. The record is from RNAcentral.